This is a long non-coding RNA of Eriocheir sinensis (Chinese mitten crab), 1753 nucleotides long. RefSeq lists it as uncharacterized. NCBI's taxonomy places the organism in Eukaryota, Metazoa, Arthropoda, Malacostraca, Decapoda, Varunidae. The record is from RefSeq and is a predicted model, not a curated record. The transcript is spliced from 3 exons.
UGUGUGUGUGUGCAUGUGUGUGUGUGUGUGUGUGUGUGUGUGUGUACAUCAAAGCGACAUAAUUGGUCACUGAUUACCAGCGUUUGCAUGUCAAGUGGUCAUGAUUCAAAGCGCACACACACACACAUGUACACACACGGACAUAUAUACGCCCACCCACCCGUCCACACACACACACACACACACACACGCAGUCAUUCCCCUCCAUGCCAUCUUGAGAAUAGCGUGUCGGUCCCUCAUUCCACACACACACACACACACACACACACACACACACGUACCCUAAGCUGGACUAAGGGAAGCAAUAUAUGGGCGGUGGCUGCGCAGAACAGUUCCACCAGUAUUCAAUUUCUUAGCAUAUCACCAGCGCUUGUUCACAGGCGCUCGGAUCAUUGCGAGAGCCGGGACGGAGCUUUCGGAAUGACGAGGUGAUAUGUUGGCUACGGGUCCUCUGCGAUUAGUUAGUCUGUUGGCAUUUCUGAUUACGUAAUGGCGUGUCGGUAAUGAUGCUAGGCUAGGUUUUGUUUCGAUAUAUUGAUUUCUUUGGGUCUUUGAUAGUCGUAAUAAUGUUAGGUUAGGUUUUGUUUUGAUAUAUUGAUUUUUUCGCUUCGAUAUAUUAAUUUCUUUGCGUCUUUGAUAGUCGUAGUGAUGUUAGGUUAGGUUUCGCUUUGGCAUAUUAAUUUUUUUGCGUCUUUGAUAGUCGUAAUGUUAGGUUAGGUUUUGUUUCGAUAUAUUAAUUUUUUCGCUUCGAUAUAUUAUUUUUUCGCGUCUCUGAUAGUGUCAUAGUGAUGUUAGGUUAGGUUUUGUUUCGAUAUAUUAAUUUUUUCGCUUCGAUAUAUUAUUUUUUCGCGUCUCUGAUAGUGUCAUAGUGAUGUUAGGUUAGGUUUCGCUUCGAUAUAUUAAUUAAACGCGUCUUUGAUAGUCGUAAUAAUGUUAGGUAAGGUUUUGUUUCGAUAUAUUGAUUUCUUUGCGUCUUUGAUAGUGUCGUAGUGAUGUCAGAUACGACUGCUUGCUUGGGAAGUUCGUCAGUCGGUUUCUUUGAUCAGCAUUGUGUCGUAGUGAUGUUAGUCGAGGUUUUGUUUUGGUAAGUUCAUUCCUUCGGUUCUUUGGUAAAAAAAAAUGCUGUGAUUAUGUUGGCUACGAUUUCUUUUCGGUUAGUUCAGCUGUCGGCUUCUUUGAUCAACGUCCUGUCGUAGUGGUUAGUUGGUUUUGUUUCAUUACGUCCAUUUGCUUCUUGGAUAAACGCGGCGUCAAGGUUGUGUUGGGUACGAUUUCCCUUUCGGUAAGUUCAUUCGUCGGGUUCAUUGACGUAACAAGGUGUCGGUCGUAAAGAUGGUAGCUGUUUUGUUUCGUUACGUCCUUUCGCUUCUCUGAUAAUCACGAUGUCAUGAGUGUUGGUUACGAUUUCUCUUUCGGUAAGUUCGUUCAUCAGGUCCUUUGACGUAACAAGGUGUCGGUCGUAAUGAUGUUAAUCGAGGUCUUGUUUUCUUACGUCCAUUCGCUUCUUUGAUAAAUGCAGCGUCAAGGUUGUGUUGGGUACGAUUUCCCUUUCGGUAAGUUCAUUCGUAGGGUUCAUUGACGUAACAAGGUGUCGGUCGUAAUGAUGUUAAUCGAGGUCUUGUUUUCUUACGUCCAUUCGCUUCUUUGAUAAAUGCGGCUUCAAGGUUGUGUUGGGUACGAUUUCCCUUUCGGUAAGUUCAUUCGUAGGGUUCAUUGACGUAACAAGGUGUUGAGCGUAAUGAUGGUAGUUGAA